Molecule: long non-coding RNA, 3652 nt
Filed under: Canis lupus familiaris (dog)
Lineage: Eukaryota; Metazoa; Chordata; Mammalia; Carnivora; Canidae
Description: lncRNA (ENSCAFG00040012179.1)
Source: RNAcentral
AUGCUGGCUCAGUGUCCCCUGGGGGGCUGGCUCACUGCACCCACCCAUUCUGGCUGCCGGCUCCUCCUGGCAGGUGCUGGAGCUCCUCUAAGCACCGUGCCUGCUGCCUGCAGCAAGAAAGAAAGAGAGCGGAAGCCCAAGGAGUCGGCCCGGACUGGCUGGUCUCACAUUACUGUCAGCAGUGGCCUGUCAACCGCUUAUUUAAAGCUCACAAUGUCUGCUCUUGUUGCACAGACAGACCUGCCAUUAGGAGCUUUCCAGACCAAACCUCGGCUGCUCUGGAGAACAGUAAUUAAAUCAGCAGACCACGAUGUCUGCUUUCUGUUCUUUUCACACCUGUCUGCCAACAGCUGGCUUACUGGGUACAAGGAAGAUCUUGGCAGGGCCCAGACUGCAGGGUCAUCAGGUCAUUCAUACAACCUUCUGCCCUGCCCCUGUACCUCUUCUCAUCAACAAACAUUAAGGAGAAGCGAGAGCUGCUCUGCCCUUGUUCUUGAAGCAAGCCCUUUUGCUUAGGAAGCAAAGCCCUUUGGAAAGCUGGUGUUUCUGUCAAUGAUGCUUACAAAGCAGUCUCAGAAAAGGACACCGGGGUGGCUCAGCGGCUGAGUGUCUGCCUUCGGCUCAGGGCAUGAUUCCGGGUCCAGGGAUCAAGUCCCACAUCAAGCUCCCUGUGAGGAGCCUGCUUCUCCUUCUGCCUGUGUCUCUGCCUCUUUCUCUCUCUCUCUCUCAUGAAUAAAUAAAUAAAAUCUUUUUUUAAAAAGUCUCAGAAAAUGUCCUUUUUGUUUAUCAGUCAGUCCCCUACCCUUAUCUCAGCUCUUCACACUUAGUAGAAGCUCAUUCAUGCUGGGUGAAUGAAUGAAAUACUGAAUAAAUGCUGGAUAGAGUGGUUGCCUAUCAUUUACUUGCCUGACAAAGCACUAGGUAAGGAGCAAAACGUCAGGAACUAUAUGAACCUGGGAUGAAAUCCUGACUCCAUACGUAUUUUGGCCAAUUGGUUAACCUUUCCAAGCACCAUCUCCCCACUGGUAAAAGGGUAUGCUAGUGCCCAGCUCACAGCACAGUAGUGAGCAGUGAAUGAGGUAGGUAACUGAUGCCAUGUAUUUCUUUUCCUCUACUACUUCCUCUAUGUCUUUCCAGCCUUUUCCAUGGUCCUCUCCCCCUCUCACUGCCUCUCUGGCCUUGACUUCUAAGUCUCUUGUCCCUCAGCCCCAACCUUACCAGGAGGCCUUUAAUUCUCUCCAAGCUGCCACCACUCAUUGAUCACAACAUUCCUCCCACAGAGGGAGCCUACUUUGUUUGGGUCCGUCCUCACUGCCUUCCCCACCUUUGGCUAUAUGAACCACCCAGAAUUCUUAAAAGCACCCACCCAUCCUGGAGACGCUCUCAGAAUAUCAGGUGCAUACAGCACCUGGCCCACAGUGAUACCACAAUCUUUUCUGGGGCAUUUGCAAUAAAUUCCUAUUUUUGGACCACCUACAUCAGCAUCCCUUCUUAAUUUUAAACAAAUUAAACAAGUGUUUGUUUAAAAUGAAGAUUCGUAGGUCCCAAUCCUGACUCAUCUGAUCUCUGCAAGGGGGGCCCUGGAAGCUGCAUUUUCAUUAACUAUCUCAGGCAACUCUAUUGCUCAAGGCCAAGGCUUGACAGUGUAGAAUAUUUAGUCCCCUGGAGUGCUGGGAGGGUUCUUCUACAUCACUCAAAGGUCCUCCCUUUAAUCUGUAUAAAAUUUCAUUUUACAUCAGAAGAUUACUUAGCAAAUACCUACCUGGUAAAGUUAUUACUGAAUUACUAGUAUUUGGGACUUGUUAACUCAUGUUAAAAUUUACUAAGGUUUACAGUGGACCCCAACUCACUGUUCUCCCAAGGAAGAAGGCAGCAAUGCAGUAUGAGGUCUUCCUGUGGACUGCGUGAGGCACAGGCCCAAAAAAGUCACCACAAGUCCCCAGUGAGUCUAGAAUGACUUGCUGCAACUAUAGGACUAUCUUGAGCUGGUCAUGAUUUUAAAUUACUGUUCUUCUUGGUCUUUGAUGAUAACUUACGGUUAGCUCCUCUUUGUUGAUUAACUUAUUAUGGGUUGCAUGGGGAGCCCUCUAGUUUGUAGGGGUGCAGAUUGAUAUCAACGCAAGCGUGGCCUACACAUACAUUCUCAGGAGCUAGACUUUAAGACAUGCAACCUGCUGUUCAAACAUAAGUAAUCUUAAAGCUAAAGCAGUUGUGUAUUUAUAUAAUCUCUCCAAAAUUUACUUUAGAUUAAUAUUUUAUUGUUGUAACCAGGUUCAUUUUGCACGCAGCAGUAUAAAGGGUAGGGCUGGCUGGCUGCAGGCAGAGUCACAUGACCAGCACUCUGCUGCACACAGCUACAUAGCUCCUUUUUAUCUGCUUUGCACCCCAGGCCACCUCCUCUUGUCAGAACCGCGAGGUCCCUGGGCCUCUACCUCACCCCCCUACAGUCCACUUUCCCCAGUACCCACCCCCAGAAAAGUACAGCAUGGCAAUCCUAGGUGGGAGUUUCUCUGGCUCUCAGAAAUAGCAGUUAGAAGCAUCCCCAGGCCCUAUCUUCUUUCCCCUCUUCAUGGGGGGGGGGGGGGGGUGAGGGGGGGGCUUGACUUCUUCCACACCCUGCAGAGGAAUUACAGAGCACAACAGCAGCCUGAUAUCCCUGGAAAAGUUUCAAGAAUGACUCCCACAUGUUGACCCUCUGUCCUUUGUCAGACACCACGCUGGGCUGUUAUAUACAGGUUCUGAAAUCCUUACCACAGCAGCAGCCUGCAAGGCAGGGCUAUGUCUCCUUCAUGCAGAUGAGGGCUGAGGGUCAGAGCCCACUAAACUGAGCUUCUCACCCGAGAUCCCCUGGCUCAGAUCCUGAGGAGAUCAGCCCCUGACAGCGCUCCCCCCUCCACCCCCUCCCCCCGCCCCAUGCCUUCCUUCCUGUUUCUACUCUACCUUAUCUCAUUUAUGUUAACCUGCACAAAAAUAGCAAGAUCCUGCUGGUUUGCAAAUGUCAAACAUUUAAAUUUUUUGUUAAAUACUGAGGCUCAUUUAUAUACAGUGAAUGCAUAGCUGAUUUGCAACACUCCCUGAGUUUUGAUAGAUGCAUAACGCAUACCCCAUUUAACAUACAGAAUGUCUCCUCACCCCAGAAGGAUCCCUGUGCUCUCUCCCAGUCAAUCCCUACUCCCCCACCCAGAGGAACUCAUUUAGUUUUCAGAUCUUCCAUUUUGUUCAGGCAGCUGGAAGCAAGGGAAAACAGAGUAGCAGGAGCUGGACAAAGCCAGGGAAGCACAAAUAUUGUCACCGUCCUAGCUACAGCCCGCAGCAAUGGUAUGUCCAUCCACCUUCAGCCUAGUGAAACAACAUACUUUUGCUGUGUACUUUCCUUUCCUUCCAAAGGAAACAACUUCCAAGAGACAUCCUGGGAAGCUCAGGCACGUCUCCCUUGGUCUUCUGCUCACCAGGGCUCAGGGCCAGCCACACCCUUGGGGCUCUUCCAUGGUCCUCCCUAGCCCUCAGCUGCUGCCCUGAGGCCCCCUCCUCAUGCCACAGCUCCAGGGUCCCCAGCAGAGCCCUCUCCGGUGUAGCUGGAGCAAGUUAACAACAAACAGCACUCCUGGGGACAGGCGAGAGGCAGGGAUGAAGAAACUGCCCAUGCACCCUA